RNAcentral lists this ribosomal RNA (466 nucleotides) under uncultured bacterium. Its description in RNAcentral is "partial 16S ribosomal RNA". It matches the Rfam family "Bacterial small subunit ribosomal RNA", at positions 28 to 507 of the family's 1533-position model. The record is from RNAcentral.
GAUGAACGCUGGCGGCGUGCUUAACACAUGCAAGUCGAACGGAAAGGCUCCUGCUUGCAGGGGUACUCGAGUGGCGAACGGGUGAGUAACACGUGGGUGAUCUGCCCUGCACUUCGGGAUAAGCCUGGGAAACUGGGUCUAAUACCGGAUAGGACGAUGGUUUGGAUGCCAUUGUGGAAAGUUUUUCGGUGUGGGAUGAGCUCGCGGCCUAUCAGCUUGUUGGUGGGGUAAUGGCCUACCAAGGCGUCGACGGGUAGCCGGCCUGAGAGGGUGUACGGCCACAUUGGGACUGAGAGACGGCCCAGACUCCUACGGGAGGCAGCAGUGGGGAAUAUUGCACAAUGGGCGCAAGCCGGAUGCAGCGACGCCGCGGGGGGGAUGACGGCCUUCGGGUUGGAAACUCAUUUCGCUAGGGACGAAGCGUUUUGUGACGGUACCUGGAGAAGAAGCACCGGCUAACUACGUG